This 397-nucleotide ribosomal RNA is filed under the name uncultured bacterium. RNAcentral's name for it is "bacterial SSU rRNA". It matches the Rfam family "Bacterial small subunit ribosomal RNA", at positions 521 to 916 of the family's 1533-position model. The record is from RNAcentral.
UAAUACAGAGGGUGCGAGCGUUGUCCGGAAUCACUGGGCGUAAAGGGCGCGUAGGCGGCUGGGUAAGCGUGUGGUGAAAGCCCGGGGCUCAACCCCGGGUCGGCCAUGCGAACUGUCCAGCUGGAGCACGGUAGAGGCACAUGGAAUUCCGGGUGUAGCGGUGGAAUGCGUAGAGAUCCGGAAGAACACCGGUGGCGAAGGCGGUGUGCUGGGCCGUGGCUGACGCUGAGGCGCGACAGCGUGGGGAGCAAACAGGAUUAGAUACCCUGGUAGUCCACGCCGUAAACGAUGGGCACUAGGUCCUUGGGGGAGCGACCCCGUGAGGGCCGGCGCUAACGCAUUAAGUGCCCCGCCUGGGGAGUACGGCCGCAAGGCUGAAACUCAAAUGAAUUGACGG